This 565-nucleotide ribosomal RNA is filed under the name Coralliocaris labyrintha. Its description in RNAcentral is "partial 12S ribosomal RNA". Lineage: Eukaryota; Metazoa; Arthropoda; Malacostraca; Decapoda; Palaemonidae. The record is from RNAcentral.
UUUUUGUUGCCCACCCAGCUGCGGUUAGACGGGGUGGGAAUUAAAAAUUUUCGGGUGGUAGUUAUAAAAAGAAUUUUUUCAUUUUUUUGUGUGGUUUGUUUGGAGGUGAAAUUUUGAGAUUAAGUUGUAUAAAUUCUUGUUUUAUUUUGAUUUAGAGGCUAUGAAAAUUUAGGUUUAAACUAGGAUUAGAUACCCUAUUAUACUAAAUACUUAAUUAAAUACGCUUGAGUAGUAGUAGUUAUAUUCUUGAAAUUUAGAGGAUUUGGCGGCACUCAAGUCUGGUUAGAGGAACCUGCUUCGUGAACGAUAUGCCACGAAUUAUCUUACUUUAUUUAGUUUAUCAGUUUGUAUACCUCCAUUAUAUAAGUAUUAUUUUUAAGUAUAUAUUAUAAUAAUUUAAUUUUAAUGUAUUAGGUCAAGGUGCAGCUUAUAGUAAAGUGUUUGUGGGUUACAUUGUAUUUUAUAACUUCGGAUAUUAAUUUGAAAUGAUUUUUUGAAGUUGGAUUUAAUAGUAAGUCUUUUUUAAUAAGUUAGGCUGAUAGUAAGCUCUAGGGUGGGUACAAAG